AUUAAUAUUAUUCAAUAAAAAAUUAAUUUUAACAGAUCCUUUGUCCUUUCGUACUAAAAAAAUCCUA
Molecule: ribosomal RNA, 67 nt
Filed under: Anthaxia fulgurans
Lineage: Eukaryota; Metazoa; Arthropoda; Insecta; Coleoptera; Buprestidae
Description: partial 16S ribosomal RNA
Source: RNAcentral